UACGUAGGUGGCAAGCGUUGUCCGGAAUUAUUGGGCGUAAAGCGCGCGCAGGCGGUUCCUUAAGUCUGAUGUGAAAGCCCACGGCUCAACCGUGGAGGGUCAUUGGAAACUGGGGGACUUGAGUGCAGAAGAGGAGAGCGGAAUUCCACGUGUAGCGGUGAAAGCGUAGAGAUGUGGAGGAACACCAGUGGCGAAGGCGGCUCUCUGGUCUGUAACUGACGCUGAGGCGCGAAAAGCGUGGGGAGCAACAGGAUUAGAUACCCGCGUAGUCC
RNAcentral lists this ribosomal RNA (272 nucleotides) under uncultured bacterium. RNAcentral describes it as "partial 16S ribosomal RNA". It matches the Rfam family "Bacterial small subunit ribosomal RNA", at positions 524 to 796 of the family's 1533-position model. The record is from RNAcentral.